This 1234-nucleotide ribosomal RNA is filed under the name Tetrix interrupta. RNAcentral's name for it is "partial large subunit ribosomal RNA". The record is from RNAcentral. Lineage: Eukaryota; Metazoa; Arthropoda; Insecta; Orthoptera; Tetrigidae.
UCUGGAUUAUCAGGGUAUAAUAUAAUAUUAUUUUCGUUUACGUUGAAAGUUUUUUUGUGUAAUUCAAAAUGCCUUGAUUUAUUAUUAAUUAAUUUUUUUUUAUUGUUUAUCUAUAUGUAUAUUUAGUUAGUUUUUUUUAUUUUUGUUUUAUUAAUUAAUUUUGAAAUGCUUUUUUUUUAUUAUAGUUUAUUUUUAAUGUAAGUGUUUAUUUUUAUUAUUUUAUAAGGAUAUUUUUAUAGUACCUUUUGUAUCAGGGUUUAUUAAAUAAUUAAUUUUUAUUUAUUUUUCUCGAAUUGGAAUGAUCUAUUUUAAUAUGACUUUUUAUGUUUUAUAAUGAUUUUAAAUUUUAUUAUAGUAGUGAUAUGCUAUUCGUUUUCUAAUAUAUCUAGUUUUCUGAGUUUAAAUUUAAUUUUAAAGAAUUUUUGAAUUAUAUUUUUUAUUUAUUAUAUGAUUUUUAAUUUUUUUUUAUUUUCUAAGGGAUAAGCUUUAGUUUAUUAUUUAUAAUUUUUAUUAUUUUAUUUUUUAUUAUAGGCUUGUAAUCAGCCAUUAUUUAAAUUACGUUUUAGUUUAAUUAGAUUGUUUAUUAUUUAUUAUUUUAUUUAAUUUUGUUAUUGGAAUAUUGACUAUAAUUUAUUUUGUUUAUUAAUAAUGAUGUAAUUAGUAUAUUUAUUUUGUUUUUUUAUUAUUAUUUGUUAAUUAAUAUAAAGGAAUUCGGCAAAUAUUAUAUUGUUUCCGCCUGUUUAUCAAAAACAUCUCUUAUAGUAUAAUAAUUAUAAGUAGGACCUGCUCACUGAAUUUUUAAAGAGCCGCGGUAUAUUGACUGUGCAAAGGUAGCAUAAUCAUUAGUGUAUUAAUUGUUUACUGGAAUGAAAGGUUUGACGAGAAACGUACUGUCUCUGUAUUAUAUUUAGAAUUUUACUUCCUAGUAAAAAGGCUGGGAUUUUUUUUUGGGACGAUAAGACCCUAUAGAGUUUAAUUUUAUUAUUUUUAAUUAUUUUGUGUUUGAAUUUUGUUAUUAACUUUAUUAAAAUUUUGUUGGGGUGAUGUGAGUAAUAUAUAAACUAUUCAUUUAUUUUUAUCAUUGAUUUAUGUAUAUUUUUGAUCCUUUAUUAUUGAUUAAAGAUCAAACUACCUUAGGGAUAACAGCGCAAUUAUUUUUAAGAGUUCUUAUUGACAAAAUAGAUUGUGACCUCGAUGUUGGAUUAAGAUUAUUUUUUUGGUGUAGUUGCUUUAA